RNAcentral lists this ribosomal RNA (497 nucleotides) under uncultured bacterium. RNAcentral describes it as "partial 16S ribosomal RNA". It matches the Rfam family "Bacterial small subunit ribosomal RNA", at positions 28 to 507 of the family's 1533-position model. The record is from RNAcentral.
GAUGAACGCUGGCGGCGUGCCUAAUACAUGCAAGUCGAGCGAACGGACGAGAAGCUUGCUUCUCUGAUGUUAGCGGCGGACGGGUGAGUAACACGUGGAUAACCUACCUAUAAGACUGGGAUAACUUCGGGAAACCGGAGCUAAUACCGGAUAAUAUUUUGAACCGCAUGGUUCAAAAGUGAAAGACGGUCUUGCUGUCACUUAUAGAUGGAUCCGCGCUGCAUUAGCUAGUUGGUAAGGUAACGGCUUACCAAGGCAACGAUGCAUAGCCGACCUGAGAGGGUGAUCGGCCACAUUGGAACUGAGACACGGUCCAGACUCCUACGGGAGGCAGCAGUAGGGAAUCUUCCGCAAUGGGCGAAAGCCUGACGGCGCAACGCCGCGUGAGUGAUGAAGGUCUUCGGAUCGUAAAACUCUGUUAUUAGGGAAGAACAUAUGUGUAAGUAACUGUGCACAUCUUGACGGUACCUAAUCAGAAAGCCACGGCUAACUACGUG